This 407-nucleotide ribosomal RNA is filed under the name Clostridioides difficile. Its description in RNAcentral is "bacterial SSU rRNA". It matches the Rfam family "Bacterial small subunit ribosomal RNA", at positions 907 to 1313 of the family's 1533-position model. Lineage: Bacteria; Bacillati; Bacillota; Clostridia; Peptostreptococcales; Peptostreptococcaceae. The record is from RNAcentral.
GAAUUGACGGGGACCCGCACAAGUAGCGGAGCAUGUGGUUUAAUUCGAAGCAACGCGAAGAACCUUACCUAAGCUUGACAUCCCAAUGACAUCUCCUUAAUCGGAGAGUUCCCUUCGGGGACAUUGGAGACAGGUGGUGCAUGGUUGUCGUCAGCUCGUGUCGUGAGAUGUUGGGUUAAGUCCCGCAACGAGCGCAACCCUUGUCUUUAGUUGCCAUCAUUAAGUUGGGCACUCUAGAGAGACUGCCAGGGAUAACCUGGAGGAAGGUGGGGAUGACGUAAAAUCAUCAUGCCCCUUAUGCUUAGGGCUACACACGUGCUACAAUGGGUAGUACAGAGGGUUGCCAAGCCGUAAGGUGGAGCUAAUCCCUUAAAGCUACUCUCAGUUCGGAUUGUAGGCUGAAACUC